UGGGGAAUCUUGCGCAAUGGGCGAAAGCCUGACGCAGCAACGCCGCGUGGGGGAAGAAGGCUUUCGGGUUGUAAACCUCUUUCAGGGGGGACGAAGCCACCGGGGUUAAUAGCCCACGGGGUGACGGUACCCCCAGAAGAAGCCCCGGCUAACUACGUGCCAGCAGCCGCGGUAAUACGUAGGGGGCAAGCGUUGUCCGGAAUCAUUGGGCGUAAAGCGCGUGUAGGUGGCUUGGUAAGUCCGGUGUGAAACCUUGGGGCUCAACCCCAAGCCUGCAUCGGAUACUGCCUCGCUCGAGUUCGGGAGGGGAGAGCGGAAUUCCUAGUGUAGCGGUGAAAUGCGCAGAUAUUAGGAAGAACACCGGUGGCGAAGGCGGCUCUCUGGAACGAUACUGACACUGAGACGCGAAAGCGUGGGUAGCGAACAGGAUUAGAUACCCCAGUAGUCCCUGAGCGGGCUGGCAAGGCGCAU
This 471-nucleotide ribosomal RNA is filed under the name uncultured bacterium. Its description in RNAcentral is "bacterial SSU rRNA". It matches the Rfam family "Bacterial small subunit ribosomal RNA", at positions 355 to 825 of the family's 1533-position model. The record is from RNAcentral.